GCCUUCGUGGCGUAACGGUAACAAACUCGGCGCAUAUUCGAGAGGUCCAGGUUCGAAUCCUGGGGAAGGCG
This 71-nucleotide transfer RNA is filed under the name Stegodyphus mimosarum. It matches the Rfam family "tRNA". From Rfam's summary of the family: Transfer RNA (tRNA) molecules are approximately 80 nucleotides in length. The record is from Rfam by way of RNAcentral. Lineage: Eukaryota; Metazoa; Arthropoda; Arachnida; Araneae; Eresidae.